RNAcentral lists this ribosomal RNA (210 nucleotides) under Simplicillium obclavatum. RNAcentral's name for it is "partial large subunit ribosomal RNA". Lineage: Eukaryota; Fungi; Ascomycota; Sordariomycetes; Hypocreales; Cordycipitaceae. The record is from RNAcentral.
AAGCGCCUAUGACCAGACUUGGGCCCGGUGAAUCAUCCAGCGUUCUCGCUGGUGCACUUUGCCGGGCACAGGCCAGCACCAGUUUGUCUUGGGGGAAAAAGGCUUUGGGAAUGUGGCUCCCUCGGGAGUGUUAUAGACCAUUGCAUAAUACCCUGGGACGGACUGAGGUUCGCGCAUCUGCAAGGAUGCUGGCGUAAUGGUCAUCAGCGA